AACAAACGCNGGCGGCGUGUCUUAAGCAUGCAAGUCGAGCGGCAAGGGCAGCAAUGCCCCUAGAGCGGCGGACUGGUGAGUAACGCGUGGGUGAUCUACUUNGGGCAUGGGGAUAGCCAUUAGAAAUAGUGGGUAAUACCGAAUACGUUCGUUACCGUGAGGGUAACGAGGAAAGGCGCUACGGCGCCGGCCUGGGGAUGAGCUUGCGUCUGAUUAGCUAGUUGGUGAGGUAAUGGCUCACCAAGGCGAUGAUCGGUAGCCGGCCUGAGAGGGUGUACGGCCACACUGGGACUGAGAUACGGCCCAGACUCCUACGGGAGGCAGCAGCUAAGAAUAUUCCGCAAUGGACGAAAGUCUGACGGAGCGACGCCGCGUGGAUGAUGAAGGCCGAAAGGUUGUAAAGUCCCUUUGCUGGGGAAGAAUAAGCGUGGGAGGGAAUGCCCGCGUGAUGACAUGAACCGGCGAAUAAGCCCCGGCUAACUACGUGCCAGCAGCCGCGGUAACACGUAGGGGGCGAGCGUUGUUCGGAAUUACUGGGCGUAAAGGGCAUGUAGGCGGCUUUGUAAGCUUGGCGUGAAAUUCCACGGCUUAACCGUGGGAAUGCGUUGAGAACUGCGAGGCUUGAGUGACGGAGAGGGAGCUAGAAUUCCUGGUGUAGGGGUGGAAUCUGUAGAGAUCAGGAAGAAUACCAAUGGCGAAGGCAAGCUCCUGGCCGAUGACUGACGCUGAGGUGCGAAAGUGUGGGGAUCAAACAGGAUUAGAUACCCUGGUAGUCCACACUGUAAACGAUGUACACUAGGUGCUGGGGCGGAUGCUUCAGUGCCGUAGCUAACGUGAUAAGU
Molecule: ribosomal RNA, 842 nt
Filed under: uncultured bacterium
Lineage: Bacteria
Description: bacterial SSU rRNA
Rfam family: Bacterial small subunit ribosomal RNA
Source: RNAcentral